GGCAGGCCUAACACAUGCAAGUCGAGCGAAUGACGAGAAGCUUGCUCCUUGAUUCAGCGGCGGAACGGGUGAGUAAUGCCUAGGAAUCUGCCUGGUAGUGGGGGACAACGUUUCGAAAGGAACGCUAAUACGCAUACGUCCUACGGGAGAAAGCAGGGGACUUUCGGGCCUUGCGCUAUCAGAUGAGCUAGGUCGGAUUAGCUAGUAGGUGAGGUAAUGGCUCACCUAGGCGACGAUCCGUAACUGGUCUGAGAGGAUGAUCAGUCACACUGGAACUGAGACACGGUCCAGACUCCUACGGGAGGCAGCAGUGGGGAAUAUUGGACAAUGGGCGAAAGCCUGAUCCAGCCAUGCCGCGUGUGUGAAGAAGGUCUUCGGAUUGUAAAGCACUUUAAGUUGGGAGGAAGGGCAGUAAGUUAAUACCUUGCUGUUUUGACGUUACCGACAGAAUAAGCACCGGCUAACUCUGUGCCAGCAGCCGCGGUAAUACAGAGGGUGCAAGCGUUAAUCGGAAUUACUGGGCGUAAAGCGCGCGUAGGUGGUUCGUUAAGUUGGAUGUGAAAGCCCCGGGCUCAACCUGGGAACUGCAUCCAAAACUGGCGAGCUAGAGUAUGGUAGAGGGUGGUGGAAUUUCCUGUGUAGCGGUGAAAUGCGUAGAUAUAGGAAGGAACACCAGUGGCGAAGGCGACCACCUGGACUGAUACUGACAUAGGUCGAAG
RNAcentral lists this ribosomal RNA (719 nucleotides) under Pseudomonas putida. RNAcentral describes it as "bacterial SSU rRNA". It matches the Rfam family "Bacterial small subunit ribosomal RNA", at positions 41 to 751 of the family's 1533-position model. The record is from RNAcentral. Lineage: Bacteria; Pseudomonadati; Pseudomonadota; Gammaproteobacteria; Pseudomonadales; Pseudomonadaceae.